This 465-nucleotide ribosomal RNA is filed under the name uncultured bacterium. RNAcentral's name for it is "partial 16S ribosomal RNA". It matches the Rfam family "Bacterial small subunit ribosomal RNA", at positions 28 to 507 of the family's 1533-position model. The record is from RNAcentral.
GAUGAACGCUGGCGGCGUGCUUAACACAUGCAAGUCGAACGGAAAGGCCCCUGCUUGCAGGGGUACUCGAGUGGCGAACGGGUGAGUAACACGUGGGUGAUCUGCCCUGCACUUCGGGAUAAGCCUGGGCAACUGGGUCUAAUACCGGAUAGGACGAUGGUUUGGAUGCCAUUGUGGAAAGUUUUUCGGUGUGGGAUGAGCUCGCGGCCUAUCAGCUUGUUGGUGGGGUAAUGGCCUACCAAGGCGUCGACGGGUAGCCGGCCUGAGAGGGUGUACGGCCACACUGGGACUGAAAUGCGGCACAGACUACUACGGGAGGCAGCAGUGGGGAAUAUUGCACAAUGGGCGGAAGCCUGAUGCAGCGACGCCGCGUGGGGGAUGACGGCCUUCGGGUUGUAAACUCCUUUCGCUAGGGACGAGGCGCAAGUGACGGUACCGGGAGAAGAAGCACCGGCUAACUACGUG